Molecule: ribosomal RNA, 305 nt
Filed under: uncultured bacterium
Lineage: Bacteria
Description: bacterial SSU rRNA
Rfam family: Bacterial small subunit ribosomal RNA
Source: RNAcentral
GAGAUCCUACGGGACGCAGCAGCGGGGAAUAUUGGGCAAUGGGCGCAAGCCUGACCCAGCAACGCCGCGCGAAGGAAGAAGGCUUUCGGGUUGUAAACUUCUUUUAAGAGGGAAGAGCAGAAGACGGUACCUCUUGAAUAAGCCACGGCUAACUACGUGCCAGCAGCCGCGGUAAUACGUAGGUGGCAAGCGUUGUCCGGAUUUACUGGGUGUAAAGGGCGUGCAGCCGGGAAGACAAGUCAGAUGUGAAAUCCCGCGGCUCAACCGCGGAACUGCAUUUGAAACUGUUUUUCUUGAGUACCGGG